GAUGAACGCUGGCGGCGUGCCUAAUACAUGCAAGUCGAGCGAACAGACGAGGAGCUUGCUCCUCUGACGUUAGCGGCGGACGGGUGAGUAACACGUGGAUAACCUACCUAUAAGACUGGGAUAACUUCGGGAAACCGGAGCUAAUACCGGAUAACAUGUUGAACCGCAUGGUUCAACAGUGAAAGACGGUCUUGCUGUCACUUAUAGAUGGAUCCGCGCCGCAUUAGCUAGUUGGUAAGGUAACGGCUUACCAAGGCAACGAUGCGUAGCCGACCUGAGAGGGUGAUCAGCCACACUGGAACUGAGACACGGUCCAGACUCCUACGGGAGGCAGCAGUAGGGAAUCUUCCGCAAUGGGCGAAAGCCUGACGGAGCAACGCCGCGUGAGUGAAGAAGGUCUUCGGAUCGUAAAACUCUGUUAUUAGGGAAGAACAAAUGUGUAAGUAACUAUGCACGUCCUGACGGUACCUAAUCAGAAAGCCACGGCUAACUACGUG
Molecule: ribosomal RNA, 497 nt
Filed under: uncultured bacterium
Lineage: Bacteria
Description: partial 16S ribosomal RNA
Rfam family: Bacterial small subunit ribosomal RNA
Source: RNAcentral